Long non-coding RNA from Anopheles arabiensis, 2140 nucleotides. RefSeq lists it as uncharacterized. NCBI's taxonomy places the organism in Eukaryota, Metazoa, Arthropoda, Insecta, Diptera, Culicidae. The record is from RefSeq and is a predicted model, not a curated record. The transcript is spliced from 3 exons.
CGUUAUCCGGCGCGAAGGUGGUGCGCUUGAAAGAUCAUUCCUCCUUCCUUACUACCGUUAGCGAUCGAGUGCUUUACCAGCAGUUUGUUUUGUGUCGUCAUGUUUGGAGCAACUUGGAAUGUCGACCUGAUUGGGUGUAGUCAAUCGAUGCGUUACACACGCUUCCCCCGAAUCUGCCACGGUCAGUUGUCGAGUGCGUCGAUCGAUUUAAUUGAGAUCUUAGUGCGUCUUCUGACUGGUAAUCUUCGUGCUAGGUGCUGUAACAGUUGCUUACACGGUUGGAUGCCUUCCCAUCCUAAUAAAACGGGGGUUUCAAUGUUUUUGUGACCAAUUAAUGACUUAUUUGCGGUACACACACCUUUCGCAGCCUUGUGCCGUAUUCCUAACACCGAAUCAACUGUGAUAUUUGGUCCUACACGCUUCCUUCCAUUUUACAUUGUAUCCGUUUGUCUGUCUGGUAUACAUACCAGCAGAAAUUGCUUCCCUCGGUUUGGGUAUCAAUCAUCUCCGCCGUGGCUCUUGUUUCCCAUAGUGGUGGAGGAAAUGGUAGGUUGGGCUCUAUUGCUAGUGCUGUGGCCGAUCCCACGGAACGCGCUAUUCGUCGGGUUUCGUCGAAGAAGUCGAAUCAUUAAACUGCCAAAUUGGCUUAUUAACGUUAAUAUGGUUGAAGCAUCGUACACGUCGGAAGACCCUAGUAGUAGGUGCCCCUCGUUUUUUUCUCGUUUGCCAGCCAACAAGCCAUCGUCCGGAGAACGGACUGCCAGCGAAGUAUCGCAGUUGGUCGUGUCUCGUAGAAGGAAAAGCUUGAUUGCAUUGGAAUGACCAUAUUAGCUACGGUCAGCGAUCGGUUCUACCAUUUACAGGCUGCUGUUUACAGGCUUGUCCUACCCUGGGGUCGCUGCUUUACACUGUUGAACUAGAUCCAACAAAAGGCCCUCCCCGGGCCUCCUUGUGGGUUCGUUGCUUGAAGAAGUGGUUCCAGCGGAAAAUUGAAGCAACUGAAAUGGUUCCUUUUAUUUUGGUUUGGCGGUGGCUCAUGUUUUGUUGCUUGUUUUUGUCGACUGGUUGCCGAAGUUGUGCUUCAAAAUAGAGCACAUUGCAUUGACCGGCAGGGCUUGAGGGUAAUGUGUAUAUGUUGCAGUUUUUUGUUAUUGUUGUUAUCGAAACAUCUGUGUAAGCACAAAAUGUGUGUCGAAACUGCUGCUUCAACAGUGACUCAGACAGUAUCGUCGGGUCUCUUUACGGCCGUUGCUAUGUUAGGUUCUACUUGUAUGCGAACUGAUCGUGUUUAGAUCGGCAUUAUUUAACUUUUAAACAAACUCCACUAGAAUCCAAUCUUGCUGCGUGUGAUCUUCUUGCGGUGAUCUUGCCCUGCUCAACGGUGUGCCAUACGCAAACAGCGAUAUGAUGAUGCUUACGCAAGAGAAACUGUGAGAACGCGCGAGCGACAUGGCUGUGCUGGCAGUGAUCGGUGAAGAUCAGCCCAAAAUCAAAGCGCAAUCUCACACGCAACUCGCGAACGCGAGAGUAACCUCGUCUGGGGCUCUCUGUGACUGCCACAUGCGGCCUUUUUCACAUCAGAAACUGUACCAUGACCGUCCAAAGACCAAAGUCAGAGAGAGAUGAGAGCCUUGAAAUAGGGUCGUCUGUGCAUAAGGGCGAUGAGCCAGCUCCUCUCUAAUGCCAACCGAUGCGAACCCAACCAAUGGAAUCUCGUACUGCAAGGGACACCAUCCCACGAAGAGAGUAACAGAGAGACAGAGAGAAAGAGAGCGCGGAUCACACCCUCCGACGGUGCAAGAGAUUGCCCCGCUCGGGAUGAAGUUGGUUGCUGGUGGGUCCGCUGUUGCCGGUUUAGUUUCCAUUAGACGGCGCAACGAGGGCGACACAGCUCUAACAACGCAAACUACGGGUCGCCGUCGCGUUUUUGUGGGAGUUUAUACUCGCUGUGUGUGUGUUUUUGUAUGUGUGAUGUGUGCAGCUUCAACCGUCUUCCCCAGUACCCGAAUGCUCGGUGCGGGUUUGUUAGACUACGUUGCAGUCGAGUGUGAUGCAUAUGGUGGACGCGUUACAGUGUGAAACAGAACAGCGCAAAACCUGCGAACCGAACUCUAGGCACGCGUGUCGCAAAUCAAAGCAA